AACAGAAGAGAUUCUUGUGUCCUAGAGACCAAAGAAAGAAUCAGCAGGAAUGCCCAGGGUGAAUGAUGGAUUGCAGAGCCUGGCUGGCACAUUUUGUGCCCUCCCCGCCUCCAAAUUGCCUCAGUUACAAAUCGGAAGGCAGGCUUGGUGACCAGGAGGACUGGCAAGCACAUUUUAAAGUCCCAUGCUGUGGAGUUGAUCCAUCUCAACUUGAGAAAGAAAGAUGCUGAGAUGUGGAAGACCCUGUACUCAUGGCUGGCAAGUCAUGACCACUUAGCAGUCCAUGCACUUUGUAAUCUGCUGUAUUUUUGACAAAACUGAGACAG
Molecule: long non-coding RNA, 326 nt
Organism: Apodemus sylvaticus (European woodmouse)
Lineage: Eukaryota; Metazoa; Chordata; Mammalia; Rodentia; Muridae
Exons: 3
Source: RefSeq, a predicted model, not a curated record